GCCCAUGUAGCUCAGUUGGUAGAGCACAUUCUUGGUAAGAAUGGGGUCCUCGGUUCAAAUCCGAGCAUGGGCU
Molecule: transfer RNA, 73 nt
Filed under: Thermoflexia bacterium
Lineage: Bacteria; Bacillati; Chloroflexota; Thermoflexia
Also listed under: 1 other name
Description: tRNA-Thr
Rfam family: tRNA
About the family: Transfer RNA (tRNA) molecules are approximately 80 nucleotides in length. Their secondary structure includes four short double-helical elements and three loops (D, anti-codon, and T loops).
Source: RNAcentral